UAGCUGUAAAGGAGAGAAAAGCCAGACA
Molecule: non-coding RNA, 28 nt
Filed under: Mus musculus (house mouse)
Lineage: Eukaryota; Metazoa; Chordata; Mammalia; Rodentia; Muridae
Source: RNAcentral